CUAAAAUACUCUAGUGGCGGGAUGGACUUAGUAAGGUAGUUAACGAUAUCAGCGUACCAUGAGACUAUUUCUACUCCAAAAAUUUGCUCAUCUGGAAAGAUUUCAUUGAUGUCAAUUGACUUCUCAGGUUCAUCCCGUUCCAAUCUUGAUAAGUGGUCGGCUCCCACAUUUUCACUGCCCUUCUUAUCCUUGAUCUCAAUAUCAAACUCUUGCAACAACAAUAUCCAAUGGAUCAAUCUUGGCUUAGCAUCCUUCUUUGUCAUAAGAUACUUCAGAGCGGCAUGAUCUGUGUAGACGAUGACCUUAGACCCAACAAGAUACGAUCUGAACUUGUCGAAUGCAUAAACCACAGCUAGUAAUUCCUUCUCGGUCGUAGCAUAGUUGAUUUGGGCGUCGUUCAAAGUUCUACUUGCAUAGUAUAUCACAUGAAAGAUUUUAUUCUUUCUUUGUCCCAAUACCGCACCAACUGCAUGAUCACUCGCAUCGCACAUUAGCUCAAAGGGCAAAUCCCAAUUAGGUGACACAAUCACAGACGCUGUUGUGAGUUUUUCCUUCAAAGUAUUGAACGCUAUCAAACAUUUCUCAUCAAACUCAAAAGAUACCUCUUUCAUUAGCAAGUUGCACAGAGGCUUGGUGAUUUUGGAGAAGUCCUUUAUAAACCUCCUGUAAAACCUUGCAUGUCCAAGGAAACUUCGAACUCCUUUUACUGAUGUAGUUGGUGGUAAUUUCUCAAUAACCUGAAUUUUCACCUUAUCC
This 756-nucleotide long non-coding RNA is filed under the name Olea europaea subsp. europaea. The record is from RNAcentral. Lineage: Eukaryota; Viridiplantae; Streptophyta; Magnoliopsida; Lamiales; Oleaceae.